UCUUGCACCCAGCUACCAGCAGCCACUCACCCUCCCCACCCAUGCUGAGGCGUUAUGAUAGCAUAACAUAAUGACCGGACUUGGAAGCUCUUUGCCCUGAGAAGGUUACUCAGAGGUGAAUUCUCUCAAUCAUUUUUCCUCAGGUAGCUUGCCUGGAGGAGAAGGGCCUUUGUUCCCUAUGGAGCCAGUAUGUGAUCUGGAAAAGACUUUGGACUCCACUUUGUAGGGGAUGAAACUAAGGCCAAAAGUGAGUUAAGUAAAUUGAGUUAGGUCCGCUCGUGCAGUCCAUUAGUGGCAAAGUUGAACUGCAGUUGUUACCAAUGCCAGCAGCAUCUCAGACCCAAAGGAUCACCCCAUCUUCACUCUGUCUUGGGUGGCAUUCACUUGAGCAGCCACUCAAGACCUCCUCUCUGAAAAGCAAGGCAUCAGUCUCUGGUCAGAGUUUUCGGAAGAUUUCAGGAUGGUCCCCAGGAGCAGUCAGAGUGGCCCAAUAGGAGCCUUCUGCCAUAGGAAUGCUGAUUCUAAUUUGAAUAUCUCUAAUGCUGGAACUACUGGAGCAUGAAGCAGGAUCAGGUGUCUCCUUGUCAACAUAGAUGUUCAUGCUCAUAGAUGCUCUGCCUCCUCUCCUGCAGCACUCACAGUUUCUGCUCAGAGCUGAGCUUUAAAGGAAUGCUUCCUAACUACAGCUGCAAACAGAGGGGCUGACAGUGAGAAACAAUAUGACUAGAUGCCUGAAGACACUGUGUGUGUGUGUGUGUGUGUGUGUGUGUGUGUGUGUGUGUGUGUGUCUGUUUGUCUGUCAUAGCCAGCCAAAUUGGUGGUGCAUACGUAUAAUCCCAGCACUGAGAAAGCUGAGGCAGAAGGAUCUUGAGUUUAGGCCAGGCUGCAAAACAAGGCACUGUCUCACAAAAUAAACACACAAACACACACACACACACAGGCACACACACACACACACACACACACACACACACACACACACACACACACACAAGGUGCGGGAGAGGGGAACCAUCUCAGGUCUUACAAAUGGAGAAAACUUUCAAGAAGCACAGUUUAACACUGUUCUAAUCAGCUAUCUCUUUGCUCCAGCCCUUUCUUUCCCGAGUAAGCUUUAUUGUGAAAGAAAUCUGUGGGUACCCACCACCUCCUUUUCUUUCUUUGAAGGACUCUGGCAUUGGCCCCACUGGACUGCCCAUGCCACUACACAAGAACUGGCCUUCCAGCAACUCCUUUUGAGACUUCACUGGAAACAGGCCAGGGCUCAGAACACCAUUGUACAGCUUUCUGUGCUCUCCUGACUCAAUGUGGAGUUCCUCCCUCAGCCUCUCAUGGCUGGCAUCUUCAUGCACUCAUUUUGGAGAAAGCCUCGGUCAAGGAGUGGAAUUGUCGAAAAAUACUCCAACAUCCCAUCUUCAAGUGGACCAACUCACUCUUGACCGCCUGAAAUUUCCCCAGAGAUUAAAUGGCAGCUGUCCCUAAGGAAAGCUUACUUGGUAAUCCCCAACCCCCUUCCUUGGCUUCUCUAGUCUCCUCUGCUUUCUCAGUUGCCUAUCACCUUUUCUUGGGAUUGCCUCCCAAAUAAACAGUUUGUAUUCAAAACAACGUUUCAAGAUGUGAUUUUUAAAGGGCGCUAAAAGAGACCACUGAAUUCCUCCCCUGAAAGUGAGUCCUUCUGGAGGCUGUGAAGCAGAGCCAUUGGCUGAUCACAAGGAAGUUGGUGGAUGGAGCAGCUCCGAGAAGCCUGGGGCCUUACCUGCAGGAACCAUCACAACAGACAGCUCUAAUGAGCACGGCACUGUGGAAGCAGACAUCUGGUCUACCACACUGCUGGGAUAGACCGCUGAAAGGCA
Long non-coding RNA from Peromyscus californicus insignis, 1853 nucleotides. RefSeq lists it as uncharacterized. The record is from RefSeq and is a predicted model, not a curated record. Lineage: Eukaryota; Metazoa; Chordata; Mammalia; Rodentia; Cricetidae. The transcript has 3 exons.